This 486-nucleotide ribosomal RNA is filed under the name uncultured bacterium. RNAcentral's name for it is "bacterial SSU rRNA". It matches the Rfam family "Bacterial small subunit ribosomal RNA", at positions 28 to 504 of the family's 1533-position model. The record is from RNAcentral.
GAUGAACGCUAGCUACAGGCUUAACACAUGCAAGUCGAGGGGAAACGAUGAGAGAGCUUGCUCUCUCAGGCGUCGACCGGCGCACGGGUGAGUAACACGUAUCCAACCUGCCUUUUUCCAGGGAAUAACCUUGCGAAAGUAAGACUAAUGCCCUAUGUGUCCUCAGACGGCAUCAGACGAGGACGAAAGAUUUAUCGGAAGAGGAUGGGGAUGCGCCUGAUUAGGCAGUUGGCGGGGCAACGGCCCACCAAACCGACGAUCAGUAGGGGUUCUGAGAGGAAGGUCCCCCACAUUGGAACUGAGACACGGUCCAAACUCCUACGGGAGGCAGCAGUGAGGAAUAUUGGUCAAUGGACGAGAGUCUGAACCAGCCAAGUAGCGUGCAGGAUGACGGCCCUAUGGGUUGUAAACUGCUUUUGUACGGGGAUAAAGUGAGCCACGUGUGGUUUAUUGCAGGUACCGUACGAAUAAGGACCGGCUAAUUCC